GACGAACGCUGGCGGCGUGCCUAAUACAUGCAAGUCGAGCGAAAGGACGCGAAGCUUGCGUCUCUGAUGUUAGCGGCGGACGUGUGUGUAACGCGUGUAUCACCUACCUAUAAGACUGGGAUAACUUCGGGACACCGGAGCUAAUACCGUAUAAUAUUUUGCACCGCGUGGGUCAAAAGUGAAAGACGGUCUUGCGGUCUCUAAUCGCUGCAUCCCGGCUGCAUUAGCUGGUUGGUAAGGUAACGGCUUACCACGGGAACGAUGCAUAGCCGACCUGCGGGGCGGAUCGGCCACCCUGGAGGUUAGCCAGGGUCAAUACGCCUGAGGGAGGCAGCAGUCGCGAAUGUUCGGCAAUGGGCGAAAGCCUGACGGAGCAAGGCCGCGUGAGUGAUGAAGGUCUUCGGAGCGUAAAACUCUGUUAUUAGGUAAGAACAGAUGUGGAAUUAACCGUGCCCAUCUUGACGGUACCUAAUCAGAAAGCCACGGCUAACUACGUG
Molecule: ribosomal RNA, 497 nt
Filed under: uncultured bacterium
Lineage: Bacteria
Description: partial 16S ribosomal RNA
Rfam family: Bacterial small subunit ribosomal RNA
Source: RNAcentral